UCCCCUAGUAACGGCGAGUGAAGCGGGAAGAGCUCAAAGUGGUAAUCGCUUCGGCGAAUUGUAGUCUACAGAGGUGUGACCAUUUAGGCACCCGGUCCAAGUCCCUUGGAAGAGGGCGUCAUGGAGGGUGACAACCCCGUCUGUGGCUGGGCUGCCUGGAGUACGGUCCGCUCUCAAUGAGUCGAGUUGCUUGGGAUUGCAGCUCAAAGUGGGUGGUAAAUUCCAUCUAAAGCUAAAUAUGGGUGGGAGACCGAUAGCGAACAAGUACCGUGAGGGAAAGAUGAAAAGAACUUUGAAAAGAGAGUCAAACAGUGCUUGAAAUUGCUGAAAGGGAACCGAAGUGGACCAGUGUUGGCGGCAGAGGCGUACUUCUCCUGGGCUCUGGCUCAGGGGCGCUGCUCUCUGUCUUGCCUGGUCAGGGCCGGUUCUGUGACCGCAGGACACGUUUGGCCAGGAGGUAGGGUGCUUGCAUCUGAAACUGGCCAUCUUCUGCUGCUGUCUGGACCGAGGCAUUGCGCAAGCAAGGGCCCUGAC
Molecule: ribosomal RNA, 534 nt
Filed under: Heterococcus brevicellularis
Lineage: Eukaryota; Xanthophyceae; Tribonematales; Heteropediaceae
Description: LSU rRNA
Rfam family: Eukaryotic large subunit ribosomal RNA
Source: RNAcentral